CAGCAGCCGCGGUAACACGAAGGGUGCAAGCGUUAAUCGGAAUUACUGGGCGUAAAGCGUGCGUAGGCGGUUUGUUAAGUCUGCUGUGAAAUCCCCGGGCUCAACCUGGGAACUGCUUCUGAGACUGAACGACUAGAGUACGGUAGAGGGUGGUGGAAUUUCCGGUGUAGCGGUGAAAUGCGUAGAUAUCGGAAGGAACAUCAAUGGCGAAGGCAGCCACCUGGGCCUGUACUGACACUGAGACACGAAAGCGUGGGGAUCAAACAGGAUUAGAUACCCCGGUAGUCCCUGUCUCUUAUAC
RNAcentral lists this ribosomal RNA (301 nucleotides) under uncultured bacterium. RNAcentral describes it as "partial 16S ribosomal RNA". It matches the Rfam family "Bacterial small subunit ribosomal RNA", at positions 509 to 807 of the family's 1533-position model. The record is from RNAcentral.